AGGAUGAACGCUGGCGGCGUGCUUAACACAUGCAAGUCGAACGAUGAAGGCUGGAGCUUGCUCUGGCUGGAUUAGUGGCGAACGGGUGAGUAACACGUGAGUAACCUGCCCCAGACUCUGGGAUAAGCGCUGGAAACGGCGUCUAAUACCGGAUACGAGCUUCCACCGCAUGGUGAGGAGCUGGAAAGAAUUUCGGUCUGGGAUGGACUCGCGGCCUAUCAGCUUGUUGGUGAGGUAAUGGCUCACCAAGGCGACGACGGGUAGCCGGCCUGAG
RNAcentral lists this ribosomal RNA (274 nucleotides) under uncultured soil bacterium. RNAcentral describes it as "partial 16S ribosomal RNA". It matches the Rfam family "Bacterial small subunit ribosomal RNA", at positions 26 to 296 of the family's 1533-position model. The record is from RNAcentral.